RNAcentral lists this transfer RNA (89 nucleotides) under Armillaria novae-zelandiae. RNAcentral's name for it is "tRNA-Pro". It matches the Rfam family "tRNA". Rfam says of the family: Transfer RNA (tRNA) molecules are approximately 80 nucleotides in length. Their secondary structure includes four short double-helical elements and three loops (D, anti-codon, and T loops). Further hydrogen bonds mediate the characteristic L-shaped molecular structure. tRNAs have two regions of fundamental functional importance: the anti-codon, which is responsible for specific mRNA codon recognition, and the 3' end, to which the tRNAs corresponding amino acid is attached (by aminoacyl-tRNA synthetases). tRNAs cope with the degeneracy of the genetic code in two manners: having more than one tRNA (with a specific anti-codon) for a particular amino acid; and 'wobble' base-pairing, i.e. permitting non-standard base-pairing at the 3rd anti-codon position. The record is from RNAcentral. Lineage: Eukaryota; Fungi; Basidiomycota; Agaricomycetes; Agaricales; Physalacriaceae.
GGCUUGAUGGUCUAGUAGUAUGAUUCCUUGUUAGGGUGAGAGUAUGGCGCUGUUCGAGGAGGUCCUGGGUUCAAUUCCCAGUCAAGCCC